GUUAGUUGGUGAGGUAAUGGCUCUACCAAGACUAUGAUCAGUAGGGGGAUCUUUAGAGGAUACCCCCACACUGGAACUGAGAUAAGGACCAGACUUCUAUGGGAAAGGCAGCAGUGAGGAAUAUUGGUCAAUGGAGGAAACUCUGAACCAGCUAUGUCGCGUGCACGGAAGACAGUCUUUUAGAUUGUAAACUACUUUUGCAUAGAAAUAAAAGCUACUACGUGAUGGUAGUCUGAAGGUACUAUGCGAAUAAGUGUCGGCUAAUUUCGUGCCAGCAGCCGCGGUAAUACGAAAGACACAAGCGUUAUCCAGAUUUAUUGGGUUUAAAGGGUGUGUAGGCUGUUUAUUAAGUCAGUAGUGAAAGCUUACAGCUUAACUGUAAAAAUGCUAUUGAUACUGAUAACCUUGAGUAAGAUUGGAGCAUUUGGAAUGUAUGGUGUAGCGGUGAAAUGCAUAGAUAUCAUACAGAACACCAAUAGCGAAGGCAGGAUGCUAAAUCUUCACUGACGCUGAGGCACUAAAGCGUGGGGAGCAAAUAGGAUUAGAUACCCUAGUAGUCCACUGCCCUAAACGAUGAUCACUAGCUAUUGGAAAAACUAUAUUCAGUGGCUAAGCUAAAGCGAUAAGUGAUCCACCUGGGAAGUACGAUCGCAAGAUUGAAACUCAAAGGAAUUGACGGGGUUUCGCACAAGCGGUGGAGCAUGUGGUUUAAUUCGAUGAUACGCGAGGAACCUUACCAAGGCUUAAAUGUAUAACGAAUAAGCUGGAAACAACUUAGUCUAUAAGACGUAAUACAAGGUGCUGCAUGGUUGUCUUCAGUUCGUGCUGUGAAGUGUUGGGUUAAGUCCUAUAACGAGCGCAACCCCUAUUGUUAGUUGCCAGCGGGUAAAGCCGGGGACUCUAACAAAACUGCCGGUGUAAAUCGUGAGGAAGGUGGGGAUAAUGUCAA
RNAcentral lists this ribosomal RNA (949 nucleotides) under Candidatus Uzinura diaspidicola. RNAcentral describes it as "bacterial SSU rRNA". It matches the Rfam family "Bacterial small subunit ribosomal RNA", at positions 244 to 1188 of the family's 1533-position model. The record is from RNAcentral. Lineage: Bacteria; Pseudomonadati; Bacteroidota; Flavobacteriia; Flavobacteriales.